This 512-nucleotide long non-coding RNA is filed under the name Homo sapiens (human). RNAcentral describes it as "HSALNT0371683". Lineage: Eukaryota; Metazoa; Chordata; Mammalia; Primates; Hominidae. The record is from RNAcentral.
UAACUAGAGUAUCUUAGCCUUCAUCUUUAACUCAAAUACUGCGGCCCUCAAGACUACCCCCAGGCUCAAUGACUUCCUAGAAGGCCCAUGAUUCAGCAAAGUGGUUAUGCUCACAACAACAGUUUAUUACGGCGAAAGCAUGCAGAUUGAACCCAGCAUAUGGAAGCAGUGCACAGGGUGGGCCCAGGAGAGUUCCAGUUGUCCUCUCCCGCUGGAGUCACAGGAAAUGAGAUCAGUGUAUUGAAGAGACAUCUGUACGCCCAAGUUCACUGCAGCACUAUUCACAGCAGCCAUGCCAUGGAAUCAACUCAAGUGUCCACCAGUGGAUGCAUGGAGAAAGAAAAUGUGGCAUCUGUAUACACACACGGGAGUAUUAUUCAGCCUUAAAGAGAAGGUAGGAUCCAGGUCGGCUAAGCAUGCUGGCUUCAACAGCAGGGAUGUGAGGUGAGGGAGGACAGCGAUGCAGGAGGAAUGGAGAUGCGUCUAACACGGGGUCAGACGGCAGAUUCGAG